ACGGCAGUCAUCCUCACAUCUCCCCCGUUCCCCAUUUCUCCCAUCGCCAGCUCCCUCCCUCCGCAGCCGGCAGUCCCAGGUUAGGCCGCCCCUUCCCUUUGUCACCAUAGCCAGCGCGAGCUUCAUAGCCACUAAUCUUCCUCCAUUUCACGUCGAAUCUGGCCACGGAAGUGGCCGAGGAGGCCCUCGAGCUCGGCAUGCUCGCGCUAGCUCUAGGCUCCGUCGAAGGCGUACGCGGAGGCGCGGGACUUGCACGCCUCUCCUCUGCCCUACUCCUUCGAAUCCAGUCGCACAAGUGCUUGAGGAGGCGCUCGAGCUUGGCAUGCUCGCCGGCGACGCCGGGCCCCUCCCUCCUCCUGAUGCCUCCCUCACCGUCGCCGCCAUGAGCCUCUCCACCCUCUCCCGCGCGAUUGUCCGGGUCCAGGUUGCUGCAUCUUCUGGUUGUGAGUGGAUCCAAGAGUUAACAUGGUGCAGUAUCUUUUCGAAAGAUGAUGUAUUUCUUCAUAUAAGAAAGUAUGUUGGAGAAGUUAUUAUUGUAGAGGAAUUCAGUCUCAUGUGAUUCUCAAGAGCUAAAAUGGAAAAAGAAGUGCAGACCUCUCAUGCCUACACUAACUAAUCAGGUAGCAUAUGCAAAUUUUUAAGAAUACUACAUUCAGAUAUGACAUUUGAAUAUAAAAACUGGCAAUUAUGUACAGUAGACAGUUCCUAAGAAUUUCUGCAUUAGCGGCUUGUAGCUUCAAUUCUUCAAUCAGCCAGUUGUUAAUUUGUUGUUCUAUAACUAAUUGAGUAAGAGAUUUUUUUUCCCGGUUGGCCGAAUUAUGUGCCGAUGAUAUGAUCGCGGUGAAUAAUAUGGGUUGCCUAUGUGCUCAUGAAACUAAAAAGUCUUCAAAAGGUGGUCUUCCAAUGAAAUUUGAAAUAUAAUAAAAACAUGGUAUCAGAAAAGAACGAAUAGGGGAAGAGUCAACAUGGAUGUUGUCCCGGUUUUAUCCCAUCCUGGAGGUACAUAUGUGAGAACUACACUUACUAUUUCCUAUUACCAUAUCCUUCAUUAAGGAAAAAUUCCCUACAUAAGCUUGACCUAGCCAAAUGGCUAACAAGCAUGUAGCCAUGGACAAUACUGCAUGAAUUAGUCAGGAACUUCUCAGCACAAACUCAUCUAUUUCAGACUUCUCCUCUGUUCUUCUCUGGACUCUAUAAAUUAAAAUAUCACACAUGCAUAUGCAAAGGCAGUGGAAGCAAAGAGAACUUACAUUGGAGGGAGGCACAACGAAUCCGCAGCACGCUCCAGAAGCAACUGGAAGGCGACGGAGCGGACAACAGCAGCUUGGACCGAUAGACGACGCUGAGAAAAGCAGAGGCUUACAGGAGGCAAAAUGCAGCAGUCAGCGAGCGGGUAAAUCCAAAACAUAGCAAAUAAUGGUGAUGGAGACACCUCAGCCAAAUGGUUCCAUGGCAAGUCAACCCAAAGUGCAGCAGCAACAAAGAACCAGCGGAGUUGCAGCAGAAAAGAGAGGCAAAAAUGAAAGCAAGAAGAAACCCAAAUCAAUGCAAAGGAAACGGGGUACUAAAAGCCUAGCCUGUUCAAAGCUUUCUGGCUACAAGAAGGUUGGGUGAAGUCUACAAUGGGUUCUUUUCCAAGGAAGGAGAAGGCUCAGGUGGCGCUGGUCUACAGCUAAAAGAACGUCAGCAGGUUCGCGACGAAGCUCAUGCAGGUCGCUGUGUUGAGGAGUGAGUUCCCCUCUUGCUGCUCUGCUCUGCUCUCACAAUCAACUGAAUCCCUUUAGCUAGUAGUAAAACAACAGUUGCAAGAGCUUUUUUUAAUUGCAUGAUGCACAGUUGAUGGUCAACUAAGACAAACCCAUAGUAUAAUCGUUAAGAUCAAGUUUGUAAUUUUAGUCGGACAUGUUGUCAAUACAAGGCCUACUCACAUGGUUAAUAUACUAA
Triticum dicoccoides is the source of this 1944-nucleotide long non-coding RNA. RefSeq lists it as uncharacterized. The record is from RefSeq and is a predicted model, not a curated record. NCBI's taxonomy places the organism in Eukaryota, Viridiplantae, Streptophyta, Magnoliopsida, Poales, Poaceae. The transcript has 5 exons.